ACCCUACUCUAAUAAGGUCUUGAUAUUCUGAGCUCAUAGGUGGGAGAAAGAUAAUACAUACUUACAAGACAUUUAGUGCAUAGUCAAACUAUGGAUCCAGAGAAACAAGUCAAUAAGUCAAAUCAAGAUGUGCAUGUGUGGCGAAUGAAUGGUGUAUGGUGAUGAUGGUAAUAACAAUGGUGAAAGUCUAAUUCUAUUUUUGCUCUUUUAAGGGGAUACAUACCUUUCUUGCACUUUGAAGCUUUUUAGGGAGAAUGAGAUGCUCUAUAUUUUCUUUUUCUUUUCUCUCAGGUGGGUAUCAUGUACCCCUAAUUCUACUCUCGGACACUUGUCCAUUUUUACCUCUCGUCUCACUUUUCUUUUCUUUGAGGUUCCGGGCACUUGCCCCUUUUUAUUUCCUCGUUUUUUUAGAGCACUCAUCUCCUAAAAUAAUAUAGCAAGUGGUAGUAACCAAGAUAACUCGAGCAUUUAUUCCACAAGGAAUAACAGGGAUAGGAUAAUGUUUUUGGCUAUUCUCUCAGAGAUAGGAGUAGAAUAAUUUUGGGUGAAUGUGGAGAUGGAAAUGAGUGGAUGUAUGUGGACGUGUACUUCCGGAGUAGAAGCAGCAUGUAUGAGUGAACGUGCAAGUAAAUCUUGAUUUUAACCGCAUGACAAGCUCCUAAAGGUCUAAACAGCUUGACCACACUCAAUGCUCAUAAGUAAUAAAAAGUAAAUGUGUGGCUCAAAGUCUAGCAAGCAUGUAUAUAUGGCUGUGGUAGGAAUUUAAACUCUCAUCAUAUAGAAACUCAUCAUGUGUUAUUUUAAAGAUUUUCAAAGAUAAAAUUCUCUAGAAUUCUAGCAUCUCUAGGAACAGAUAAACAGCAGCUCCACCUUCCCAUAUCAUAUCUGUUAACGACUUAGACUUUAGAUCAAGUACUCUUCCCACAAGUUCAGGUUGAGAGGAUGUUUAAAUUAUAACUUAUGCCUAAACUUGAGAGACAGCUCAAACUUGAAAAACUAGGUAUAUGGCAGAGCAACUAUAUAUCAUAUCCAUGUAAGAGUUUAUCAUUUAAGUUCAGUUUGGCCUAGACACUUUAUUUAUUUAUCUAGAAAACUAAGCAAAUAUAUAUAUAUAUAUAUAUAUAUAUAUAUAUAUAUAUAUAUAUAUAUAUAUAUAUAUAUAUAUAUAUAUAUAUAUAUAUAUCUGUCUAUAUAUAUAUAUAUAUAUAUAUAUAUAUAUAUAUAUAUAUAUAUAUAUAUAUAUAUAUAUAUAUAUAUAUAUAUAUAUAUAUAUAUAUAUAUAUAUAUAUAUAUAAGCACAAAAAAAAUCUUUAUUUGGGUUUUCAUGAUUAUGCAUCUUUUUAUUAUUUGAGUAAAGUAUAAACGUGAGUAGAAACACUUAGCUGGAUAAAUGGGGUGCUCUCCCCCAAGCUGGAUUUUGACGUAAUUUCUUCUAAUAUAGCUAGCAGGUGGUGGAGGUGUAUUUGAAAGUCGACAGCACCCUGACAGUGAUUAGGAUGUCCUCCGUCUGCUAGUCUUCUUUGAUCCUUGAAUUCAGUGGAGCUCAAAUAGACAACAAAGCUUUGUGGAAAAUUGUUAAGUGUUAGCAUAAAAUCUCUUUGCCUUUAUCAUAUUGAGCUUCCUCCUAAUAAAUUUUAUUUAGCAAGAUCAUGCACUUAUUAUUUUUAUAUUUUUAUUGUAAGAUGAAAACAUAUUUAUUUUAUGCCACCACAGUGAGUGUAUCUAUGGGGUUUAUGCCAUGAGCAUACUCACAUGGAGCUUAGUAUUUUUAACAUUUUUAUUUUCUUUUCGAGAUGAUAUGAACCUGAUUAACUAAGCAAACUAUUUUAAAUAGUUGAAAGGAAAAAGGAUAACUACCAAGUUUACCCCUUGCCAAGGCGUUCGGUGUUUUUAAGUCCUCCGAACGGGACUCUUCGUUUUCUCAGUCAUCCUGGGAUUCGCUGGAUGGCGUAGUCGGUGGUUUCGGCGGCGCCUCCUCUUCAUGUAUAGCUAUCUUCUCUCUCCAAACCUAAUUCGGUGCUACGGUCUCCUCAGGACAGUUCUGUUCAGGCUAUAUGUCUUCAGACCUCACCACUUCUCCUUUGUAGUCUACCCAUCCGUCCUUGAUGAUUUGCCUCCUCUGGUUUCGGUUGCGUCGCCUUCUUCAGAGGGAAGUGCAUGUGGACUUCUCCGGUUCCAAUAUAGAUGAUGGCUUUGAUAGUGUUGAGGAACGGUCUUCCAAGGAUGGUGGGUGGAACAUAGUCGUCUUCUCCCAUGUCAAUGACCUGAAAAUCAUCUGGAGCUGAAUAUAUAUUGGUUGUAGGGGCAUGGUUCCAUGUAGGAGCUGAUAAGUGACUGCGGCCAUUAUGUUGUCGUCAGAUCCGGUGUUGUAGAGUGUCUUCUAAAAAGAGUAUCCAUUGAUUGUGCACUCGAUGCUUGGAACACCAGGGUCAUCCUUCUUGAUCAGGAACGGCGACUUGAGUCAACGAUCUUGACCUCCUCCGACAAAGAUCUAAUGUUUUAAGUCUUCUGGACAAGACUUCUCACCGUCUUCAUCCUUUAGGUGCAUCAUUUGAUUAGGUUUGGACCAUGACGUCUGCACCUCUUGAUACGGAGUCACCCAUGUUCUUUGUUUGCCCAGCAGUUCGAAGUGCGGUGUUGGCAAUAUCCUGCUCAGUGUGUUUGUGCUCGUAGAUCCAGGUCCUUUACUUGGUGGAGUCUGGGAGUUGCAAAACUCCUCCAUGUUUUGCUUGAAGUGUACCUGUUCAUAGAGACAAGGCAGAGAUCAAGUGCAUGGGCCCUGUUGGUGGAAAACACCAACAGAACCAAAAGUGUAUUUGUUCUUCCCUAACCUUAAGCAUAGUGAGCAAGACAAAGUUGAUGGAUCUUGAGUGUAGCAUUUGUCAGAUCAGAUGGCUCAACCUAAUGGAAAGAUAAUCUAUCUAUAUUUAUGUUCUAUUUAUAUCUUCCAAAGAUUGAAUGUGCAAUACUUUUGCUUAUAUGAUUAGGAGUGUGGGAUCACGAAGGUAGUACUAAGAACAAAGAUUAAAGGACUAAACAUGCUGAAUUAAUUGGGUUGGUUAAUUUGGAGUUACAAAUCAUGUUUGUCUCUUUAUCUUAUGUGAACGCCGCAACCAAGGAGAAGCUUAUAAAAGCGAUAGUCAAGUACCUUAAGAUGUUACCUUAAUUGAAGAGUGAUGGUAUAGUAUCACCUUGUAGAAGCUUUCCAUUCUUAGCGGUUGUGCAUCGUGUUUGUGGCACCCUCCAUAGAUCAUCUCUUUAUGAUGAAUGAGCUAUGUCCUUCUUAUGCAAAUUGUUAAACUUCAUGUGUCUCCUUUAUCUCCAAAGUGAGUUUAUAUCUCAGGACUUCCCAAGUUGAUAUUGAAAGUUUUCCUGCAGGGGUUAGUCCUAACAAAAUAUCCCAUAUCUACUAUAGCAUACUAUCGGCUCAAAAAUCAACCUAGACACCUUGUCUAAUUUAAUUUAGGAGGGCAUUUUAACCUAAGCACCAUGCUUAAUUUAAAAAUCCUUUGGAAGUAAGAUCAUCAUUCCGAAACUAAGUACCAUGCUUAAUUAAGAGAUAAAUGAAACUACUCCAAACCUAGACAUAUACUACAGCAAAUAAAGGUAGCAUGAGAGCAUUUAUAGAGAUCUACUCAAGUGGAGAUGAAGUAGUGUGAUUAGUAUUCAACAAAUUGAGCAUGUCUCAAAGGUAGGGACAACUAACAUAGCAACAUGGCAAAGGAUGUUUUUAUGUAAAGUACUCCCCCAAGCUUGAAUUUUGCAAAAUUCAAGUUUGGAUGAAUUUAAUUCAAUGUUGUAUGAUGGUUGGUUGGACAUACCUUGUGUUUGUCAUUCAUCCGAUCUUCUUGCUCCCAUCCUGGAAAGGUUAGUGACAAGAAUACCUGAAGGAAUAUUUCUACAAUUAUCUUUAUAUGCUCAAUACACAAGGCAAUGUUGCAAAUAAUUAGAAGUUCAUGUUACGAUCCGAUCAUUGCUUGUUUUAGGACACUAAGCUUGUCCUUGGGAAACCAUCAAUUUAUGUCCGUGAAGUGGUUUCCCCUCCGACGCUGACCUAUAUCAAGAUCAACUCAACGAGAUCUGCAAUAUUUAUUACAGACAUAUGCAUCAACAACCGCCCUUUUAAUGUUUUUAUAAAUUUGAAGGAAGAGGGGGUUGGAGAUCUCAAAUGUGGUGAUGUUGGAGAGACCAAUUGAUUGGGGAGAUGUUUUAUAUGAGCAAGGACUUGGUGAGGUAUUUCCAUGCUCACUGUUGUUUCUCUCAUUCUCAAACUCCAAGGAUGAUUCUUCAUGAAUGCUUAAAAUUUCUCUAGGAUUGUCUCUCAAGUUUGUUUUAUCCAUCCAUUUAAUGGUGAUAGCACAUGGAUUUUUAAUGCCCUCUAGCCAUUAAUGUUGCUCUUCUCGAUCCUUCUUGUGUUCUUGGUGACUCUUAUGCAUGGGAUGUCUAGAGAGAUUCAUAGGAUCAUCGGGAGGUUCAAGAGAAAGAGCAUAGUAAAAAUUAUUAGGCUCAAGGAUGGGUUGGAUAGCCGAAUCAUGGGAUUGGAAUGUUUGGAAAUCGGCUAUUGAAACUUCCUUUCCUUGUCUGGGAGAUGAUUCCUUCUCUAUCUCUAGGAUUUUUCUAUGAAGACUAGUACAAGAUGUGGGCUGCAAAGGUAACUCAGAAAUGUCAUGUUCCCCGCUACUACCACGGUCCAGCUAGUCAGGGGAUAUCUAUGAGUACCCUAGCCCAAACACCACGUUUACGCUAGCAAUGAUUACUCUAAACUCAACUGGAAGAGAUUAAAGUAAACUCAUAAACCAAAGAAAAAUAAAACAAGAACUUACUAGAAUUUAGAAGUCGAAUUACUGAAGAAUCCUAGGAGCAAGCCUCGGGUUAGGAGAACUUGAUCCCGUAGGUACAACCUCAGAGUAGACACCGACAGGUCGGGCUUCCUCCGAUCUACACCUCCACUCUAUCUCUCUCAAUCUAGUAGAUCUAGUCUACUCUCACAUUGGAUGCUAAGACCUAAGUCCAUUUAGAGGAGAGGUAUUCCUUCGAGGGCUCCUCUCAACUCUAUGAUGAACUUGUUCUCCUCUAGGGGCCAAGGGGUCUGGUUAUAUAGUCCUUCCAAGUGAAUAUGGGCCGUCGGAUCAAACCGACAUUGAUUGAACGGUUAUCCUUGAUCCUUUAGGUCGGUAGAGUGUAAUCCCCAAAGAGAGUCCUGAUUGGACUCCAGGUCACGGCGGGCGCCCUAGGGGGGAGGGCGGGCGCCCUGCCCCCAGGCCCGUUCGCCUUCCCGUUCGUUCCCGUGGCUUUUGGAGUCUUCUAGAUGACAGAAAAUUGUGUGGCACGUUAAUAUCUCUAUGUAAACCCGACGUGUGGGCCUUUCUUCCGUAUUUCCUGAUAACCCCCUGCAGAAAUAGACAAACACCAAAACUCGUGGAAUUCUGUCAGAUAAAACCCUAAGUCUCGGUGUUGGUUGCAUUUGGAUCCUUUUCUUUAUUUAUUUGAUGAUUAUAUUUGGUACUUAAGGACCGUCAACAGCUGUCACUACCAUGAACUACCCCGCGAUCUGGCAUAUAGGGUACAAUCGCAGAUAAAUACGGUAUAAGCACCAUGCCUACACAAUAUCUAUCAUUUACCCAUGGAUCCGAUGGAUAAACACUAUAUGAUCCUAAACAUGUAUAUAAAUCCAAUCUAACUAAGCCAAGUAUAUAACUAUGAGAAACUAAGAAUAAUAUAAUUGCGAAUAUGAACAAGUAGAGCAAAGUCAUAAGCAAUAUAUUGAAGUAGAACAAAGUCAUAUUAAUAAUAUCGAAGAACAAAGAUGGACAAUUGAAGAACAAUAGAGAAUUACCAAGAAUCCUCCCGAUAGAUCCAGAAACCAAUCGAAGAUUGACUCCUUCUAGUUCUAAUCCUAUGUAGCUAUGCUAAUCUAGAUAUCUAAUUGAUGUUGUGGCUCUAGGCUUGAUUAGAGGCUUCUUCUCCCUUGAUGAAUAAUGAAUUAGGGUCUGGUUUUAUAGUCCUUCCAAGUGAAUAUGGGCUGUCGGAUCAAACCGACAUUGAUUGAAUGGUUAUCCUUGAUCCUUUAGGUCGGUGGAGCUUGAUCUCGAAAGAGAGUCCUCAUUGAACUCUAAAGGGGGGCAGGCGCCCUAGGCCAGGCUCCGUUCUGCCUCCGCUUCGUUCCCAUGGCUUUUGGAGUCUUCUUGAUGUAAGAUAAUUGCGCGGCACGUUAAUAUCUCUAUGUAAUCCCGACGUGUGGGCCUUUCUUCCAUAUUUCCUGAUAACCCCCUAUAGAAAUAGACAAACACCAAAACUCAUGGAAUUCUAUCAGAUAAAACCCUAAGUCUUGAUGUUGAUUUCAUUUGGAUCAUUUUCUUUGUUUAUUUGAUAAUUAAAUUUGAUACUUAAGGACCGUCAACAAAUAGCUCACUUUGAAGGUCCUUCCCUUUUGUGAACUUUGCUAACCCCUUGGUUAGAUGUUCCUUCUCUUUCUUGAGCUUGCUAUUCUCUUGAGUUAGCUUCUUGAUGAUUGGGUCAUUGUUGCUUGCUAACUCUUCUAAGAUGAAUGACUCAUCUUCUUCUUGCUUGUCAUACAUCAAACCAAGCUUGAGAUAUUGGUUUUCUUCUUUGAGUAACUUGUUCUCAUAUGCAAGCUUCUCGUCUUGAUCAAGUGACACAAUUACUAUUGUGUUGUGCUUGGCUUGCUCUUGCAAAUCUUUCUUGAGCUUAACAUUUUCUUCCUUGAGCUUGAUAGUGUCCUCAUAGCUCUCGUCCACUACCACUUUCUUGCCCUUGCAACCAACACAUUUGCUUGUGGUCUCCACAAGUAAGUCAUCACAAGAUGUGGCUACAUCAAGCUUAGCAACAUGGUUAGUAGCAACAUGUGUUUCUUUUAUUGCAAGAUGAUAAGCUAUCUCAAGGUUGUCAUAGUUGGCUUUUAGAGUUGUUAGCUCAUCCUUCAAAGCUCUAUUUCUAGUGAUAAUCUCAUCAUGAACACUUUCAAGUUUAUAAUGUUUUUCUUUGAGCUCUUUUAAAGAGAGUUUGAGCUCCUUGAGCAUAGUGGUCAUGAUCUCAUUUUGAUCUCUGUUGGGUAUUUUAAACGCAAACAGAAAAAUCUGCAAGCGCGCGGAUACCGAUGUAGCUUUCACCUGGGAGUAUUCCACAGUAUCGGUUUUCCACAGGGAACAUGAGUGUACUAAUUAAGAUUCAAGAUCGCCCAAGAGAUGAAGUUUCCUGAGAGUUCUCUAGUUGAUCUAAGAAUCAAGAAUUACUUCAAAGAUUAUUUAUUUCGGGACAUCAGAACACUAACCACAGAAAGAGAUGAGAAGGGGGCUAGGAAGCUCUGACUACGGUCCUACAAACACUAAUCCGAACGAGGUGGAAUACGUCGACCGUUAGGGCUAUCACUACCCUAGGGUUACCACAACAAUCCAUAGGAUUGGGUGCAAUUCCAGGUAAUUUCAAGACUAAACACCACGUCUAAUCUAUUAAUUACUACUCUAGCGUUGCAAUGACUAGAGCACUUGAUGCAAGCGGGAAUCCAAUAAAUAUCUUGAAUGUAAAUAAAAGUAAUUAAAGAACUCAGGAAUUAUGAAUUGAAGAACUUGGAGAACGAUGAAGAACGAACCAGUAGCUGCAAAAGUACAAUGUUGAGGAAGAUCCGAUAGAUCCGGCUCCUCCUCCACUCCCCUCUUCUCUCUCCCUAUUUUCUAUAUUACAACUAGAACUAACUAGAACUAGAACUAAUUGAACUAGAACUAGAACUAGAUGAACUAGAACUAGAACUAGAUGAACUAGAGGGAUCAUCUCUACUUGGAUGAAUAAUUGAAACCCUAGCUUUGAUUCUAUAGAAGAGAUAUGCCUCUAGGGGCCAGGGGGCCUGGUUAUAUAUCCCUCCAAAUGAAUAUGGGCCAUCGGAUCAAACCGACAUUAAUCGCAUGGUUAUUCUUGAAGAUUAGAGGCGGUGGAGCAUGAUCUGCGAGACCUACCCUGAUUGGUCACUAGGGCAGGGCGGGCGCCCAAGGGGGAGGGCGGGCGACCAGCCCUCGGGCCUGCUCGGCCUCCCGUUCAUUCCCGUGGCUUCUGGAGUCUUCUAGAUGAUAGAAAAUUGGCGCACACGUUAAUUUCUCUAUGUAAACCCGACGUGUGGGCCUUCCCCCUGUAGAAAUAGACAAACACCAAAACUCGUGGAAUUCCGUCAGAUGAAACCCUAAUUUUGGAUGUUGGUUUCAUAUAGGUCCUUUUCCAUGAUUAGUUGACGGUUAAAUGUGAGCAUUAAGGACCGUCAACAAACUCCCCCAAGCUUACCUCUUGCUCGUCCCUGAGCAAGGAUGGACUCAAGAGUUUCUGUAGUGGUUUCAUGCCUUAAAGGUACACAUGCGUUCAAACAAGAUCUCAUCUCUGGGUCAGGGUAAACUAUUAAGAUUUAAACUUACUCAUUUUACCUUCCACCAUGGGGCUUGCAACCAUCACUUGUGUCUUGAGCAGUUAAAAGAUAUAACGGUCUAGUCGAGCGCCAUGUCUCUUGUUCUUCAAUUAAUUAUAGCUCUGAAGUUUUUGCAGAUUUUCAAAUAAAACUCAGAGAUUCCUUAUAUGACUCUCUCUAGUCUCUCUGUUGUGGUAUUUCUGGAUCCUUACAAAGGCAGUAAUGGUGUAUGCCUUCUCUCAAAGUAUGUGGUAUUUUUUGUAUGAGGCAUAGUGGCACUGCCUUCUCUCUCACCCUACACUAAUAAGGUUUUGAUAUCUGGAGCUCAUAGGUGGGAGACAGCUAAUACAUACUUACAAGACAUUUAUUGCAUAGUCAAACCAUGGAUCCAGAAGAAUAAGUCAAUAAGUCAAAUCAAGAUGUGCAUGUGUGGCGAAUGAAUGGUGAUAAUGGUGAAAAUAAUGGUGAAAGUCUAAUUCUACUUUUGCUCUUUUGAGGGGGUACAUACCUUCCUUGCACUUGAGGCUUCUGAGGGGAAUGAGAUGCUUUAUAUUUUAUUUUUCUUUUCUCUCAGGUGGGUAUUGUACCCCUAAUUCUACUAUGGGACACUUGUCCAUUUUUAUCUCUCGUCUCACUUUUUCUUCUUUUUUUUCCUGAGGUUUCGGGCACUUGCCCCUUUUUGUUUCCUCAUAUUCACUUUUUUUAGAGCACUCACCCUCCUAGAAUAAUGUAGCAAGUGGUAGUAACCAAAAUAUCUUGAGCAUUUAUUUCACGGGGAAUAACAGGGAUAGGAUUAUGUUGGUUGAAUCUAGAUAUGGAAAUGAGUGGAUGUAUGUGGACGCGUACUUUCAGAGUAGAAGCAGCAUGUAUGAGUGAACGUGCAAGUGAAUCUUGACUUUAACCGCAUGACAAGCUCCUAAGGGUCUACACAGCUUGACCACACUUAAUGCUCAUAAACAGUAAAAAGUAAAUGUAUGGUUCAUAGUCUAAUAAGCAUGUAUGUAUGGUUGUGGUAGAAUUUUAAACUCUCAUCAUACAGGAACUCAUCAUGCAACAUUUUAAAGAUUUUCAAAGAUAAAAUUCUCUAGAAUUCUAGCAUCUCUAGGAACAGAUAAACAAUAGCUCAACCUUCCCAUAUUGUAUCCGUUAAUGACUUAGACUUUAGAUCAAGUACUCUUCCCACAAGUUCAGGUUUAGAGCAAACAUUAAUUAAUAACAGUUAUGCCUAAACUUGAGAGAGAUUUCAAUUUUGAGAACUAGUCAUGGCAGAGCAACUAUUCAUCAUUUCCAUGUGAGAGCUUAUCAUGAGGGUUCAUAGCAAACUUUAUUUAUUUAUUUAUUUAGCAAACUAAGCAAAGAUAUAUAUAAGCACAAAAUCUUUAUUUGGGUUUUUAUGAUUAUGCAUCUUUUUAUUAUUUGAGUAAAGUAUAAACAUGAGUAGAACACUUAGCUGGAUAAAUGGGGGUGCUCUCCCCCAAGUUGGAUUUUGACGUAAUUUCUUCUAAUGUAGCUAGCAGGUGGCGGAGGUGUAUUUGAAUGUCGGCAGCACCCUGAAAGCGAUUAGGAUGUCCUCCGUCUCCUAGUCUUCUUUGAUCCUUGAAUUAUGUGGAGCUCAAAUAGACAACAAAGCUUUGUGGAACUGGUUAAGCGUUAGCAUAAAAUCUCUUAGCCGUUAUCAUGUUGAACUUCCUCUAAUAAAUAUUACUCUCUUUGAUAGGAUCAUAAAUUUAUUUUUAUAUUUUCAUUUUUUAUAGAACAGGAAUAUAUAUUUAUUUUAUUUUUACGCCACCACAGUGAAUGUACUUAUGGGUUUUAUGCCAUGAGCAUACUCACAUGGGGCUUACCUUUUUUAAACAGUUUUAUUUUCUUUUCAAGAUAGCAUGAUUAACUAACAAGCCAUUUAAUUAAAGUAAAUAAAUUAAGGGAAAAGGGAAUGCAAAAAGGAUAAAUAUGUAUAACUACCGAUUUUACCUUUUGGCGAGGGUUCAAUGGUUUAAGUCUUCUGAACAAGACUUCUCACCGUGUUCAUUCUCUAGGUGCGUCAUUUGAUUCAGGCGUGGACCUUGACGUCUGUACCUCUUGAUACGGUGUCACCCAUGUUCUUCGUUUGCCCAGCACUUCGAAGUGCGGCGUUGGCAGCAUCCUACUCAGUAUGUUUGUGCUCGUAGAUCCAGGUCCUUCACUUGGUGGAGUCUGGGAGUUGUAAAACUCCUCCAUGUUUUGCUCGGAGUGUACCUUAAGCAAAGUGAGCAAGACAAAGUUGAUGGAUAAGAUCAUGAGUGUAGCAUUUAAAACAUUUGUCAGAUCAGAUCGCUCAACCUAAUGGAAAGAUAACCUAUCUACAUUUAUGUUGUGUUUAUAUAUAUAUAUAUCUUCCAAAGAUUGAGUGUGCAACAUUUUAGCUCAUAUGAUUAGGAGUGUGGGAUCACAACGGUGGAAGGACUAAACAUGUUGAAUCGUUUGGGUUGGAUAAUCUAGAGUUUGUAAAUCAUACAUGUUUGUCUGUUUUAUUCAUGUGAACGCCAGAACCAAGG
Molecule: long non-coding RNA, 10941 nt
Filed under: Sorghum bicolor (sorghum)
Lineage: Eukaryota; Viridiplantae; Streptophyta; Magnoliopsida; Poales; Poaceae
Description: long non-coding RNA (SBIC_LNC010739)
Source: RNAcentral